Labeo rohita (rohu) is the source of this 1369-nucleotide long non-coding RNA. RefSeq lists it as uncharacterized. The record is from RefSeq and is a predicted model, not a curated record. NCBI's taxonomy places the organism in Eukaryota, Metazoa, Chordata, Actinopteri, Cypriniformes, Cyprinidae. The transcript has 4 exons.
CAAGAUAGCAGGCCAUUCUAAGGUGACUCAAACCCUGCGACAGGAGGUUGUCCAGAUGAAGGUAAAAGGAAUGACCCUUUCAGCCACUGCAACAAAAAAGACCAACAGGUGUCACUAUAAACAAGUAGUGGUUGUGUUUUCUUAGAGCGGUAGUUCUCUGAGAGGGCUGAUGUGUGUGCUGUUCCUGGUGAUCUUCUGAUCCUGAUCCUCUUGCAGUUCCUGUGAAGUGUUGCUUUAAUUUGAUCAACUUCCAAAUUCCAGCCCAAAAAAUUGCCAGUGCUCUCAGGACAGAUUCAAAUUGCUUUGUUGCAGGCAUUGUAAUUACAACAAAAAAAGGUCUGGAAUUUUGUGUGAGACCAGAUGAGCCUUGGAUAAAGAUUAUAAUGGAGCAUCAGAAAUAUUAAUAUAUGUGACAGAGAUGCAAAAAUUAAUGCUGUUAUGGCUUAAUACAACUGUCUUCUUGUGAAUUUUUUUUUUUUUUUUUUUCUGCAUUGAUAUUACUGGGUGUUGAACUCGUUUAAAUGUAUGUAUGUUCAUGUAAAUCAGAAUAAAUACUCAUAGGGAAAGACAGAAAUACUGCAAGUAGCAUAUAAUAUAUAUAUUUAUACAGGAAAAAGUCCUAUUUCAGUCCUAUUUCUGGCAGACAAUCUUGAGAUUAGUUCUUUAAUUAAACACACCUGAACCAGUUCAUUGUCAAGGUCUUUGGGAUACAUAAAACAGUGUUAUGUUUUAUUGUUUUUGUUUCUUCAUGAGUAUGGCUCUCAGUUAAUGAGCAAAUAAACAGUAAUCAAGGUCUUUGGGUUUAUAUGUGAGUAAAGAGGUCAAGGUUGAACACCUGAUAUUUAGUGACAGCACAAUUCAAAUUUUAUCAUAAAACCUUCAGAUUUUAAUUUUUAGCCUGAAAUCAUGUUUUCAGUGAAGAAAAGUACUUGUAGCAAAGAGGACAAGGAUAAGGAGGAGCAAAAAAACACUCUUAUGCAAUAUUGAUGUCCAGAAAUGGGUUUAUCUGAAUGUCUUAAUAUGUAAUAUGUCUAUGUGAAGCUGCUCAGACGUUAUUCUGGACACAACAACUUUCUUCAUCUUCAAGCUCUACGGAACAUCUACAGAUUCUUUCUGUCAUUGUGAAGAAACACCCUGAAGAAUGAGAGGCCUGAUGUGUGUGCUGUUCCUGGUGAUCUUCUGCUCUGAGCAGACGACUUCAUAUCAUAAGGGCUUUCAUUUUGAAUAAAGACAAAAUAUAUUGUUUUCAGACAAAUACCCAUUCUCUUCAAAAACUAUUUUUUCAUCUCACCAACAGCUAUUGAAAAUGCAGUUCCUCAGAAGUGUUGCUUUGGUUUUAUUGACUUUCAGAUUCCAGCUAAAAAAACUA